This 460-nucleotide ribosomal RNA is filed under the name uncultured bacterium. Its description in RNAcentral is "partial 16S ribosomal RNA". It matches the Rfam family "Bacterial small subunit ribosomal RNA", at positions 338 to 795 of the family's 1533-position model. The record is from RNAcentral.
CCUACGUGAGGCAGCAGUGAGGAAUAUUGGUCAAUGGACGGAAGUCUGAACCAGCCAUGCCGCGUGCAGGAAGACGGCUCUAUGGGUUGUAAACUGCUUUUGUACAAGGGUAAACCUGAAUACGUGUAUUCAGCUGCAAGUACUUUACGAAUAAGGAUCGACUAACUCCGUGCCAGAAGCCGCGGUAACACGGUGGUGCCAAGCGUUAUCCGGAUUUAUUGGGUAUAAAGGGUGCGUAGGCGGAUGGAUAAGUUAGAGUGGAAAUGUCCGGGCUUAACUCGGGAACUGCCGGUAAUACUGGUGAUCUAGAGAGUAGAUGCGGUAGGCGGAAUGUAUGGUGUAGCGGUGAAAUGCUUAGAGAUCAUACAGAACACCGAUUGCGAAGGCAGCUUACCAAGCUAUAUCUGACGUUGAGGCACGAAAGCGUGGGGAGCAAACAGGAUUAGAUACCCUUGUAGUC